GACGGGGGGGGCAAGUGUUCUUCGGAAUCACUGGGCGUAAAGCGCACGUAGGCGGCUUUUUAAGUCAGGGGUGAAAUCCUGGAGCUCAACUCCAGAACUGCCUUUGAUACUGGAGAUCUUGAGUCCGGAAGAGGUAAGUGGAACUGCGAGUGUAGAGGUGAAAUUCGUAGAUAUUCGCAAGAACACCAGUGGCGAAGGCGGCUUACUGGUCCGGAACUGACGCUGAGGUGCGAAAGCGUGGGGAGCAAACAGG
RNAcentral lists this ribosomal RNA (253 nucleotides) under uncultured bacterium. RNAcentral describes it as "partial 16S ribosomal RNA". It matches the Rfam family "Bacterial small subunit ribosomal RNA", at positions 524 to 776 of the family's 1533-position model. The record is from RNAcentral.